AUUAAACAAACGUAUAAGGCAGAUAGAUAGCAGUGAUAUAUUA
Molecule: non-coding RNA, 43 nt
Filed under: Trypanosoma brucei brucei
Lineage: Eukaryota; Euglenozoa; Kinetoplastea; Trypanosomatida; Trypanosomatidae
Source: RNAcentral